RNAcentral lists this ribosomal RNA (801 nucleotides) under Triticum aestivum (bread wheat). Its description in RNAcentral is "partial small subunit ribosomal RNA". The record is from RNAcentral. Lineage: Eukaryota; Viridiplantae; Streptophyta; Magnoliopsida; Poales; Poaceae.
AUGGAGGAUCUAGAUGCCGCAUCGUCUCUGCCGGCGAUGGCGGAUCCUGAUCCUGUUUUGCUUCAAGUGGCGAUGCAAGAUCCUAUUACUGCCUGGCUGGGGCCUGUCGGCCCCCUCCUCCGGAAACUCCAUCUCGCACACAGUCUGCCUCCAGAUCUGCUCAGAGAUGAUGAUGAUAUUCGUCGUCUCAAGGACUUAUGCAUGUGCCUGAAAAUUAUGUCGGAAGACCAGGACGCUAACUGCAUGGUCCAGUGGUGGAUGAAGAUGGCUCGGGAGCUUUGUUAUGACACGGAUGAUCUCCUAGACGAGUUCAGCGGCAUCGGGCUUCAUCUCCAUUUUCCAGCUCGUGCGAAGGAUGAACUUUCAGGAUUACUUGCCCGUGUUAAGGAUGCGUGUGAAAGGCGACAGCGUUUCCAGUUGUCUUCUCCAAAGGCUGGCGGGGCGGAAGCCGGUGCCAGCGGCCUCACAGUUCCCAUCUCCGGCUGUAGCACAGUUAGUCAUGUGGAGCUCCCAGAGCAACUUGUGGAGCUGCUAGCUUUAGACGACGACCAGAAGACACUCAAGGUGAUACCUAUAACUGGAUGUGCAGGUGUGGGGAAGACAACAGUUGCAAGAGCCUUGUAUCACAGGCAUGGGUGGAAAUUUCAGUGCCGGGCUUUCGUAACUGUGUCACGGAAUCCACAUAUGAGGGGAUUUCUCACUAGCAUGCUCUCACAGCUUAAAGCGCCAUGGCUCAAUGGCUUUCCUGAUGUGCCGGACCUUAUUCAUGCUAUCAGCAAACAUCUCCGAGGCAAAAGGUAA